GGUUAAGUUAGAAAGGGCGCACGGUGGAUGCCUUGGCACUAGGAGCCGAAGAAGGACGGGACUAACACCGAUAUGCUUUGGGGAGCUGUACGUAAGCGUUGAUCCAGAGAUUUCCGAAUGGGGGAACCCACUAUCUUUAGUCGGAUAGUAUCCUUACGUGAAUACAUAGCGUGAGGAAGGCAGACCCAGGGAACUGAAACAUCUAAGUACCUGGAGGAAGAGAAAGAAAAAUCGAUUUCCUGAGUAGCGGCGAGCGAAACGGAAAGAGCCCAAACCAAGAAGCUUGCUUCUUGGGGUUGUAGGACACUCUAUACGGAGUUACAAAAGAAAGUUAUAAAUGAAGCGGUCUGGAAAGGCCCGCCAAAGACGGUAACAGCCCGGUAGUUGAAAUGGCUUUCCCUCCAGAGUGGAUCCUGAGUACGGCGGAACACGUGAAAUUCCGUCGGAAUCCGGGAGGACCAUCUCCCAAGGCUAAAUACUCCCUAGUGACCGAUAGUGAACCAGUACCGUGAGGGAAAGGUGAAAAGCACCCCGGAAGGGGAGUGAAACAGUUCCUGAAACCGUGUGCCUACAAGUAGUUAGAGCCCGUUAAUGGGUGAUAGCGUGCCUUUUGUAGAAUGAACCGGCGAGUUACGAUUUGUUGCAAGGUUAAGCGGAAAAAGCGGAGCCGUAGCGAAAGCGAGUCUGAAUAGGGCGCAUAAGUAACAGGUCGUAGACCCGAAACCAGGUGAUCUACCCAUGUCCAGGAUGAAGGUAAGGUAAUACUUACUGGAGGUCCGAACCCACGCACGUUGAAAAGUGCGGGGAUGAGGUGUGGGUAGCGGAGAAAUUCCAAUCGAACUUGGAGAUAGCUGGUUCUCUCCGAAAUAGCUUUAGGGCUAGCCUCGAGGUAAAGAGUCAUGGAGGUAGAGCACUGUUUGGACUAGGGGCCCUUCUCGGGUUACCGAAUUCAGAUAAACUCCGAAUGCCAUGUACUUAUACUCGGGAGUCAGACUGCGAGUGAUAAGAUCCGUAGUCGAAAGGGAAACAGCCCAGACCACCAGUUAAGGUCCCCAAAUAUAUGUUAAGUGGAAAAGGAUGUGGGGUUGCUUAGACAACCAGGAUGUUGGCUUAGAAGCAGCCACCAUUGAAAGAGUGCGUAAUAGCUCACUGGUCGAGUGACCCCGCGCCGAAAAUGUACCGGGGCUAAACAUAUUACCGAAACUGUGGAUGAACCUCUUUAGAGGUUCGUGGUAGGAGAGCGUUCUAAGGGCGGUGAAGUCAGACCGGAAGGACUGGUGGAGCGCUUAGAAGUGAGAAUGCCGGUAUGAGUAGCGAAAGAAGGGUGAGAAUCCCUUCCACCGAAUAUCUAAGGUUUCCUGAGGAAGGCUCGUCCGCUCAGGGUUAGUCGGGACCUAAGCCGAGGCCGAUAGGCGUAGGCGAUGGACAACAGGUAGAGAUUCCUGUACCAGUGCUAAUUGUUUAACCGAUGGGGUGACACAGAAGGAUAGGGAAUCGCACGAAUGGAAAUGUGCGUCCAAGCAGUGAGUGUGAGAAGUAGGCAAAUCCGCUUCUCGCGAAGCAUGAGCUGUGAUGGGGAAGGAAAUUAAGUACGGAAGUUCCUGAUUUCACGCUGUCAAGAAAAGCCUCUAGGAAGAGUAGUACUGCCCGUACCGCAAACCGACACAGGUAGAUGAGGAGAGAAUCCUAAGGUGAGCGAGAGAACUCUCGUUAAGGAACUCGGCAAAAUGACCCCGUAACUUCGGGAGAAGGGGUGCUCUAUUAGGGUGCAAGCCCGAGAGAGCCGCAGUGAAUAGGCCCAGGCGACUGUUUAGCAAAAACACAGGUCUCUGCAAAACCGUAAGGUGACGUAUAGGGGCUGACGCCUGCCCGGUGCUGGAAGGUUAAGAGGAGUGCUUAGCUUCGGCGAAGGUACGAAUUGAAGCCCCAGUAAACGGCGGCCGUAACUAUAACGGUCCUAAGGUAGCGAAAUUCCUUGUCGGGUAAGUUCCGACCCGCACGAAAGGCGCAACGAUCUGGGCACUGUCUCAACGAGAGACUCGGUGAAAUUAUAGUACCUGUGAAGAUGCAGGUUACCCGCGACAGGACGGAAAGACCCCGUGGAGCUUUACUGCAACCUGAUAUGGAAUGUUUGUACCGCUUGUACAGGAUAGGUAGGAGCCGAAGAGACGUGUGCGCUAGCAUACGAGGAGGCAAUGGUGGGAUACUACCCUGGCUGUAUGACCAUUCUAACCCGCCACGCUUAGCGCGUGGGGAGACAGUGUCAGGUGGGCAGUUUGACUGGGGCGGUCGCCUCCUAAAGAGUAACGGAGGCGCCCAAAGGUUCCCUC
This 2330-nucleotide ribosomal RNA is filed under the name Listeria monocytogenes. RNAcentral describes it as "partial 23S ribosomal RNA". It matches the Rfam family "Bacterial large subunit ribosomal RNA", at positions 1 to 2323 of the family's 2925-position model. The record is from RNAcentral. Lineage: Bacteria; Bacillati; Bacillota; Bacilli; Caryophanales; Listeriaceae.